UAUGUAGGGUGCAAGCGUUGUCCGGAAUUAUUGGGCGUAAAGAGCUCGUAGGUGGUCUGUCGCGUCGGCUGUGAAAUCCCGAGGCUCAACCUCGGGCCUGCAGUCGAUACGGGCAGACUAGAGUUCGGUAGGGGAGACUGGAAUUCCUGGUGUAGCGGUGGAAUGCGCAGAUAUCAGGAAGAACACCCGUGGCUAAGGCGGCUCUCUAGUACGGUACUGACGCUGAGACGCGAAAGCGUGGGGAGCGAACAGG
Molecule: ribosomal RNA, 253 nt
Filed under: uncultured bacterium
Lineage: Bacteria
Description: partial 16S ribosomal RNA
Rfam family: Bacterial small subunit ribosomal RNA
Source: RNAcentral